AAUCAACGCUGGCGGCGUGCCUCAGACAUGCAAGUCGAACGAUUAAGACUCUCUUCGGAGAGUGUAUAAAGUGGCGCACGGGUGAGUAACACGUAGGUAAUGUACCGAAGGGUGGGGAAUAACUUAGGGAAACUUAAGCUAAUACCGCAUAAUGCAGCGGCUCGACAUCGAGACAGUUGUUAAAGGAGCAAUCCGCCUUUUGAGCAGCCUGCGGCAGAUUAGCUAGUUGGUAAGGUAAUGGCUUACCAAGGCUACGAUCUGUAACCGACCUGAGAGGGUGGUCGGUCACACUGACACUGAAUAACGGGUCAGACUCCUACGGGAGCAGCAGUCGGGAAUUUUGGGCAAUGGGCGAAAGCCUGACCCAGCAACGCCGCGUGAAGGAUGAAGUAUUUCGGUAUGUAAAACUUCGUAAGAAUAGGAAGAAUAAAAUGACGGUACUAUUUGUAAGGUCCGGCUAACUACGUAGCCAGCAGCCGCGGUAAU
This 486-nucleotide ribosomal RNA is filed under the name uncultured bacterium. RNAcentral's name for it is "bacterial SSU rRNA". It matches the Rfam family "Bacterial small subunit ribosomal RNA", at positions 32 to 524 of the family's 1533-position model. The record is from RNAcentral.